Cyphomyrmex costatus is the source of this 1449-nucleotide long non-coding RNA. RefSeq lists it as uncharacterized. Lineage: Eukaryota; Metazoa; Arthropoda; Insecta; Hymenoptera; Formicidae. The record is from RefSeq and is a predicted model, not a curated record. The transcript is spliced from 4 exons.
AAUUAGCGCGUUACAUCAUUGGGCAAAUUUGAUUGGUUAAAAUUUUAAGCAGCAAUCAUUAUGCGCAUUGUUUGCCCGAUAUUGUAUCGAUCGACAAACUUUUCAAACACGUUAAUUGGUUAUAGGACAGAGAGAUCCGAGAAUCUCUCUGUUUUACAGCUAAUAAACAGGCUUGAGAAGCCUUCUUGUACGACACAUGAAAUAUCGGCCUUUCACCUUAUAUAUUUCCACCAUGGUAGUUCCAAUCCAUAGAUCAUAUAUAAGAUUCCGAUCCGACGAACCACCCGACCGUUAUGGACGCGUUUCGGUUCGGGUGCUCUUCAUUGUAUACUUUUAAAAGUGUUGCCGACUUUGACCGUGCAUUUCAUCGCAUAGAUACGUGUUCGCGAAUUGAGCUCGUCUCGAUUGUUCGUCGCUUGCACUAUUCGACGACCUGGGCUCUUAUGGCGCGCGUUAUUGCGGCGGCGUGACGACGUCGUAGAUCGAUAGAUGCAGACGUUCAGAGACCGGUCGAGACUCGAGCAACGCCAUUUUCACGGGCAUUACAUCAUCCAUUUUCGCGGACCUCAGUGGCCUAGUUUCUGCCUGUUUUGGCGGCCUAACCAAUAAUACAAGAAGAAGAAGCCCGGAGAGCGGUCAAACAACGCCAUUUUCGCGGACAUUGUAUCACCCACGUUUCGCAGACCUCAGCAGCGAGGUUUCAGCCUGUUGUGGCUGCCUGGCCAAUAAAUUAAGAAGAAGUAGACUGUCAUGUCCUCUCUCAGCCACUGUAUACUUAUACUACAAUCAUGUCGUUAAUGAUGGCCACAAUUUAAGCUUUUGUCAAAGCUGAACACAAUACUUUUGCUGUCCAAAGUUUUGAAUUAUUUGACGAAUUAUGUGAGAACAUGUUGUAAUAUCUCCCCAUGUAAAACAUCUUGUCCAUAUGUGCUUUACGAUCAUUACUAAUAAAUCUACAGACAGACUCGUGAAAAGAUGAUUAUUUUUAUUAGUUAACUGGCAAGAUUAAAGAAAAAAGCUCUUGUAAAGCACAAAUUAGUGGAAUCUAUCGUUGAUAUGUUAUUCAGAGUCAUAUGAUGAGUAAGCCAGAGGAAGACAAUGAUUGUACAAAUGUAGAUAAUGAAAAUACUGUUUUAACAAGCGCUAUUCAAACUUUAGACUUAUUCGUGAUGCAUUUGCCGCCAGAAAAGUUAAUUCCACAUUCGCUGUAACAUAUCGAAUCUGGACUCCGAAAUACAAGUGAUUACGUUAAGAAGACGUCAUACGUGGCUAUAGCUGUAAUAGCAAACAAUUAGGCUGAAUAUAUUCAUUCAAACUACUUUCUUCUUGCGAUGUAUUUACGAAGGAAUCUCCUAUCCUUCACUCAUUAUGCGCAAUGUCGCACUUUACACUUUAAGGCAAUACUUCGAACAUCUGCAACCAGAGAUUUCACAGUACUCAUCCGAGUUA